Onychostoma macrolepis is the source of this 331-nucleotide long non-coding RNA. RefSeq lists it as uncharacterized. The transcript is spliced from 3 exons. NCBI's taxonomy places the organism in Eukaryota, Metazoa, Chordata, Actinopteri, Cypriniformes, Cyprinidae. The record is from RefSeq and is a predicted model, not a curated record.
GGUCCAUUGGAGUCAACGGAGUUGUCGCAACUCUCUCUCUCUAUGGCUCUGGGCAAGGCAUUCCUCCUGGAACUAACGCGGGUUAUCAGUCACAAAUAAUGCAUAUAAUGUCAUCAACUCUGAGUCUCACAGAAGAAAGAAAAUAACUGGUUGAGGGUGAGCAUAACAUGAGGGUCAUUUAUUAAAACUUUCAUUACGAGGAGCCGUGGAAACCAAGGAGAAUCCCGCAAGAAAGUCUCAUAGCUCAGGCAGUGCUUGACCGCAGUAGAAACGUUACCCAUCCGGCUAGCACGAUCGGCCAGCCCGGUGCUCUUCCCAGAUGGCACCUGUG